Molecule: ribosomal RNA, 253 nt
Filed under: uncultured bacterium
Lineage: Bacteria
Description: partial 16S ribosomal RNA
Rfam family: Bacterial small subunit ribosomal RNA
Source: RNAcentral
UACGUAGGGUGCAAGCGUUGUCCGGAAUUAUUGGGCGUAGAGAGCUCGUAGGCGGUUUGUCGCGUCUGCUGUGAAAACUCGGGGCUUAACCCCGGGCCUGCAGUGGGUACGGGCAGACUAGAGUGCGGUAGGGGAGACUGGAAUUCCUGGUGUAGCGGUGAAAUGCGCAGAUAUCAGGAGGAACACCGGUGGCGAAGGCGGGUCUCUGGGCCGAUACUGACGCUGAGGAGCGAAAGCGUGGGGAGCGAACAGG